GAAAGAUGGUUUCGGCUAUCGCUUACAGAUGGGCCCGCGGUGCAUUAGCUAGUUGGUAGGGUAAUGGCCUACCAAGGCAACGAUGCAUAGCCGACCUGAGAGGGUGAUCGGCCACACUGGGACUGAGACACGGCCCAGACUCCUACGGGAGGCAGCAGUAGGGAAUCUUCCGCAAUGGACGAAAGUCUGACGGAGCAACGCCGCGUGUAUGAAGAAGGUUUUCGGAUCGUAAAGUACUGUUGUUAGAGAAGAACAAGGAUAAGAGUAACUGCUUGUCCCUUGACGGUAUCUAACCAGAAAGCCACGGCUAACUACGUGCCAGCAGCCGCGGUAAUACGUAGGUGGCAAGCGUUGUCCGGAUUUAUUGGGCGUAAAGCGCGCGCAGGCGGUCUUUUAAGUCUGAUGUGAAAGCCCCCGGCUUAACCGGGGAGGGUCAUUGGAAACUGGAAGACUGGAGUGCAGAAGAGGAGAGUGGAAUUCCACGUGUAGCGGUGAAAUGCGUAGAUAUGUGGAGGAACACCAGUGGCGAAGGCGACUCUCUGGUCUGUAACUGAC
Molecule: ribosomal RNA, 555 nt
Filed under: Listeria monocytogenes
Lineage: Bacteria; Bacillati; Bacillota; Bacilli; Caryophanales; Listeriaceae
Description: bacterial SSU rRNA
Rfam family: Bacterial small subunit ribosomal RNA
Source: RNAcentral